Long non-coding RNA from Strigops habroptila (Kakapo), 1608 nucleotides. The record is from Ensembl. Lineage: Eukaryota; Metazoa; Chordata; Aves; Psittaciformes; Psittacidae.
AGGCUAAAGCCUGGCAUGGAAGGCAGGCUCUAAUGUUACAUCUAAUCUUAGAUGCUUAGAAUGACUAUAUAACUGUUUUGUCCUUUUUUCAAGAGUUAUGUUGUGGCAGUACUUAAUUACAUUGUAGCACAUUCUUGUCCUCUACUAGACUAUGCUUUGUGCUGUGGACCUAAUGGUUUGAGUAGGUAUGGUUUGUAAAUGGUGGUAGUAUUUAUAGGAUUCCUUAGCAUGUAGUGGAAGAUAAAUACUUAUGGGAAAUAGGGGAGAGGGAAAUUACGAUCUUGCUAAUACUGCGUCAGAAAACAUAGGUUCUCUAUACUGUUGUAUAAUAUAGUCUCUAAGUAAUGCUGAGGAAAGAUAGCAAACCAAGAUAUUCUGCUACUGGAUAUUCAAAAUCAGAUAUGAAGUUAAAUGUGAUUUUUCUUGAAUCUGGUUCUCAGAAGUGCUGAGCUGUCAGUUUCAACUGAAGUCAGUAAAUACUGUACUUAUAUAUGAAACUAUGUAGUAUUGCAUAUUUCCAAACAGUCCUGAAGCAUUUUAGACUGUAUACUCAGAACUAGUUAAUGCUUCUGGUUGUUCAUCUCCCUGGUCUUCAGUUUUCUGAGCAUAAAAAUUCAUUCAUUCCAAUCACAGAAUCAUAGAAUGGUUAGAGUUGGAAAGGACCUUAAGAUCAUCUAGUUCCAGCCCCCCUGACAUGGGCAGGGACAUGUCAGUUUUGGACAUAAGCAGUAAUUUCUGAACUAAUCAGACCCACCUGUAUUAUUGCAGAAGAAACAGGAAAAUGCGUAAUUCUAUACUGAGUAUAAAACCUAGAUUAGAUUUAAGAUCUUGCUUGGCCAUAGGAGUGGUAGUAAAGCACUACCCAUUCAUGCGGGCAUUGUUCAUCCUUACAAGUGAGAUGGGGGGAAAAAGCUGUGUAAUUAGAUAUCAGUAUUUGAGAGGGCCAGACUAAGAUUUCAUAAUGACGUUGCCUGUAUAAUUUUUAAGCUUCUGAGUGCUUGAGUGUGUACUAUUAACACUUUCUUAAUUUUAAAUAUGUGCAACAUAUGUAAAUAGUAACUGAGAGAUUUUGAUUGGUUGGGAUUUUGCUGUAUCGUGAAGUAUUUUCUGGAAGUAUGGGGGAAGUUGUCAAAGUGGAGGUUAUAGUUAAUUUAUUUGGAACAAUGUUAUUUUUUUGUACAUGUUUGUGUAAUCCCACUGUAAUAAAAAGAAUAGUUACACUUCAAGUUGAAUUCAAAUCUUAAAAUCAGGCUGAAAAUUGGUGGGGGUUUUAGUAGCUUGGACUCAUCUAACAAAUAGAGACUUACACAUGAGUACAGGCUUCCCUUACACUCAGUGAAAGGGAUUUUGCACUUCCCGGGCAAUUAAUCAUGUGCUAAGAGAGAUAUCUAAAAUGGGUUAGGCAAAGAGCUCUCAAAAGGUAAGAGCAUAGUCUGUAAAGGGAGCAUGGGACAGCAAAUGCAGUUUGUUAGAUUGGGAUCUACAGGUAGAUUAAAUAAAACUUGCCUCGCUUGUGUAAGUGCAAUAGUACAAAGUAUCAGGUAAAGUAUUGUGUGUUUCUCUCAAUGUACCCUGCUCUUAAUGUGUAAUAAACAUUGACAAUUAUAA